RNAcentral lists this ribosomal RNA (463 nucleotides) under uncultured bacterium. RNAcentral describes it as "SSU rRNA". It matches the Rfam family "Bacterial small subunit ribosomal RNA", at positions 26 to 518 of the family's 1533-position model. The record is from RNAcentral.
AGGAUUAACGCUGGCGGCGUGCCUAACACAUGCAAGUCGAACGAGGUAGCAAUACCUAGUGGCAGACGGGUGAGUAACGCGUGGUCAACCUACCGUUGAGUGGGGGAUAACUAGCCGAAAGGUUAGCUAAUACCGCAUACGUCUCCGAGGGGCAUCCCUUGGCGAUAAAAGGAGCAAUCCGCUCGAUGACGGGACCGCGUCCCAUUAGCUAGAUGGUGGGGUAACGGCCUACCAUGGCACCGAUGGGUAGCUGGUUUGAGAGAGCGACCAGCCACACUGGGACUGAGAAACGGCCCAGACUCCUACGGGAGGCAGCAGUGAGGAAUUUUCCGCAAUGGGCGCAAGCCUGACGGAGCGACGCCGCGUGUGGGAAGAAGGCCUUCGGGUCGUAAACCACUGUCGAAGGGACGAUAAUGACGGUACCCUUGGAGGAAGCCCGGCUAACGUACGUGCCAGCAGCCGC